This 30-nucleotide non-coding RNA is filed under the name Homo sapiens (human). The record is from RNAcentral. Lineage: Eukaryota; Metazoa; Chordata; Mammalia; Primates; Hominidae.
UUGAAUGGUGAGAAGAGAGGAUGGAGCAGA